AACGAAGUUCGCGGUGGCAGCUAGUUACAUAUAUAUAAAAUAAAUAAAAACAUAAAAUAGCCUUUAAAUUCUUACAGCAUAUAAAACAAGAAGAUAGUUUACUUACAUAUAAUUAUUAAUCAUGUUAGUAAUUAAGUUUGUAUCCUAAAUUUACUUGUGUUAGUUUUGCCUUAACCUUACUAUUAAACUAUUAUUCUUCAUUCUGUAAGAACUCCUCUGUAGGUGAAGGCCUCCUCCAAAUAUAGCCAGUCCUCUGUAGAUUGGGCUACUUGAAUCCAGUUGGAACCAGCUGUUUUUAUGAUGGCGUCUUCCCAGCUAGCCACUGGUCCAUAAGUUCUACCUCUUUCUUUUACCCUGUGCACCCGCCCAUGUUACCGGUCACCGUUUUCGUCCAUCUCUUGUCUCAGUUACAUAUAUAUAUUACAUAUAAUAUAGUAGUUAUUCAAUUCAUUCCCAUACCCAGUAGCUAUUGCUUUACUAACAAUAAUUUUCAAUAUAAUUGUUUUUUCUUGAUAAAAUUUCAAGUUAAUGAUGCGUAAAGGAAAUUAAUAUGAUUAAAAAUAACUUUGAUGUGAAAGCAUAAUGAUACUUUUACUUUUCUGUGGAAUCAAAUUAUAUAUAUUUGUAUCAGUACAAUGUGAAACGUUAAACAGUCCACUGUUGGUCGUACUAAGCAAGCAGCACAGUCAGGAAUUGCCAAUAUUAAGAAUGAACAACAAAGCACUAACCCCGAAACCUACGAAGAUAAACCUGAUUCACACUAAUAAAAUGAUAGAAAUUAUAAACUUUAUGAAAGAUCACUAUCUAUCAACAAAUUAUUUUUACGAAGAAAUGUUAAGGAUCGAAAAGACACACACAAUCAAAGACAAAUUGAGAAAAAUGGUAACAUUUUUAGAGCGUCCUGGUAAUAAGGAUUUAAGAAAAAAUGUGCUGCAAUAUUAUUGGAAGACGAAAACUUUACUUCAAAAGGCUAAAAAGAAAGACCCAUGGAGAGUUAAGCCAAAUGACGUAGUUAUAAAUUAUUUGAAGGAUCCUUUUAAUUAUUGAUUAAAAUACAGUACGCAUUUGA
This is a long non-coding RNA of Pieris brassicae (large cabbage white), 1069 nucleotides long. RefSeq lists it as uncharacterized. Lineage: Eukaryota; Metazoa; Arthropoda; Insecta; Lepidoptera; Pieridae. The record is from RefSeq and is a predicted model, not a curated record. The transcript has 2 exons.